GUUAGACUCUACUAUUAAGGA
This 21-nucleotide transfer RNA is filed under the name Diadema sp. seto9. RNAcentral describes it as "partial tRNA-Lys". The record is from RNAcentral. Lineage: Eukaryota; Metazoa; Echinodermata; Echinoidea; Diadematoida; Diadematidae.